RNAcentral lists this long non-coding RNA (236 nucleotides) under Elaeis guineensis (African oil palm). RNAcentral describes it as "long non-coding RNA (EGUI_LNC060318)". Lineage: Eukaryota; Viridiplantae; Streptophyta; Magnoliopsida; Arecales; Arecaceae. The record is from RNAcentral.
UGUUCCGGUUCGACCUCCUCCGAGAUUGUGCACUCUACUAUAAAAUCUGCCAAUAUCUGAGCUUUUACCGUCAGUCUGGGUCGAUAGUUGAUGUCGAAUUUGGUGAGGUCGAUCGCCUAUUUCGCCAUCCUCCCGGAGGCAUCUGCCCGGUGUAGAAUAGCCUUGAUCGGCUGGUCGGUGAGUAACGUUACGGUGUGCCCUUGGAAGUAGGGUCGGAGCCUCCAGGCUGCAAUCAA